RNAcentral lists this transfer RNA (83 nucleotides) under Myxococcales bacterium. Its description in RNAcentral is "tRNA-Leu". It matches the Rfam family "tRNA". From Rfam's summary of the family: Transfer RNA (tRNA) molecules are approximately 80 nucleotides in length. Their secondary structure includes four short double-helical elements and three loops (D, anti-codon, and T loops). Lineage: Bacteria; Pseudomonadati; Myxococcota; Myxococcia; Myxococcales. The record is from RNAcentral.
GCCCUGAUGGAGGAAUGGUAGACUCAGGGGACUUAAAAUCCCCGGGCUUCGCGGCCGUGCCGGUUCAAAUCCGGCUCAGGGCA